GGGAUGCUGGCAACACACGUAGCCUGAGGAUUGCUCCCCUUCCCGUUGCAUUUUGGUUAUGGCACUGCUGUGCUGAAGCACACGUCCUGACAUCUGGCUCUGCAGGAUGAGCUUUCUUACUGUUUCGUACUACUUUGUGUCACAUGAAGGGAUUGUGGAGCUGUGUAGUCAUCUCAAAUCUGCGCCAGCACCUAGUGGGAAAUGAUGUGUUCUGGACUGUGUUGGUGCUGCUGUAUAGUACCACUGACGUGCAGAUGACUUCUGGAAAAGGUUGGCAUGAAAGCAUUGGAGCUUGUGACAGGAAGAGCUGCCGAUCAAGUGACGAGCUGAGAGCUGAGAGCAGAGCCCAGAUCUGUGGAGCAUGGGGAAUCAGCUCUGCUUUUUUUCUGCAAAUGACUUUUAAAAAUACAAGGACAACAGUCUUGAUUAGAAAGGCCAAGCUACGCAAUUAUUUCUUCCUUGUGAAAGGAGGUGUCAGGGAGGAAGAUGUUUUUCUCUCCGUUGUCUGCCUGCCUUGCUGAGCUCGUUUCAGCUGACAUUACUCAGGCAGCAAUGCCCAG
RNAcentral lists this long non-coding RNA (560 nucleotides) under Gallus gallus (chicken). RNAcentral describes it as "lncRNA (ENSGALG00010011722.1)". Lineage: Eukaryota; Metazoa; Chordata; Aves; Galliformes; Phasianidae. The record is from RNAcentral.